Jaculus jaculus (lesser Egyptian jerboa) is the source of this 1044-nucleotide long non-coding RNA. RefSeq lists it as uncharacterized. The record is from RefSeq and is a predicted model, not a curated record. The transcript has 4 exons. Lineage: Eukaryota; Metazoa; Chordata; Mammalia; Rodentia; Dipodidae.
CCCGCCCCGCCCCGCGCCGCCCCGCCGAGGCCUCGCCGGAUGUGACGCCACAGCGCUUAGCCGUCUCUUCCGUCGCAGCGGCCUUUGUCUCAGGGUCUUUGGCCUCUGUUCUGUGCAGGGAUCAAAAAAAACCUUUCACCAGUCAACUUAGUUUGACUAGACUCCUGCUUUAAAUCUUCCAGCCACGGACCUGGUGAUUCUCACGCUUUCUGGGCCCUGUGGAUUCCAGCUCAAGCAGUUGAGUCUUAUCAUGAGCUGUCCUAAGGAACGAGACCCCCUUCCAGAACCUGAAAAUAUGGAAGAAACUAGUCCUCCAAAGAAGAAAUGCCAGAAAACGAGAAUUGGUUUACUGCCUCAGACAGAGGCAACCUCUGGUCCAACCUGGGGUGACCUGAAAAAGUUGACCUUCCAAGCUGAGAAUACCUUGCGUAUGACCGGUUCUUCUGUGACCCCCGAAAACUUGCUGAUGGCCAUGAUGGCCUGUGUAACAUGUAAUUCCAAAAAACAGACUUGAAGCUUCUUUACAGAGUCCUCCAGUGAAGCCACUGAGCUGAAGCCAUGAUAGUGAUGCUGCAGCAGAUUCAUCUCCAACACUUCCCAAACCUACUUGUGAUUUUCUUACCACUCUCUUUCCUUUAUAAACAAAGAAGUGGGGAUAUGUAGGAAACUCUUGAAAAGCCAUGUGGACUGCCUGUGUGACAACAACCAGAGGCAGGAUGCCAGUGUCUAACACAACAUGUAUACUGGAAAACCAGACUGCAAUCUGCUGGCAUCAGGAGGUCUGAUAGUGCUUUGUAGGAAAACAUAGAUUAUUUAUUGCCAGUAGUGACCUGGUCAUUGGGCCUGCACUAAUUUACACCUUCCUAGCCUUAGUGACUUCACAUUCCUGUAUUCUUCCUCUUUCUGUUCUCCAUUCUUUGUCUGUCCCCAAUAAAUACCCGUGUAGACUUGAACAGAAGCGAACAGACAACCAAAAGGCUGUGGCCUCUCAGGGUCUCUUGGUUUCACUAAGUAAUAUGUCUGAGUAAAUCCUUUAUUCUCUCA